ACAGGGGGGGCAAGCGUUGUUCGGAAUUACUGGGCGUAAAGGGUUCGUAGGUGGCCACUUAAGUCAGACGUGAAAUCCCUCAGCUUAACUGGGGAACUGCGUCUGAUACUGAGUGGCUUGAGUGCAGGAGAGGGAUGCGGAAUUCCAGGUGUAGCGGUGAAAUGCGUAGAUAUCAAGAGGAACACCUGAGGCGAAGGCGGGUUGCUAGGCUGACACUGACGCUGAGGCGCGAAAGCCAGGGGAGCAAACGGGA
RNAcentral lists this ribosomal RNA (253 nucleotides) under uncultured prokaryote. RNAcentral's name for it is "partial 16S ribosomal RNA". It matches the Rfam family "Bacterial small subunit ribosomal RNA", at positions 525 to 777 of the family's 1533-position model. The record is from RNAcentral.